Molecule: long non-coding RNA, 1607 nt
Organism: Humulus lupulus (European hop)
Lineage: Eukaryota; Viridiplantae; Streptophyta; Magnoliopsida; Rosales; Cannabaceae
Exons: 6
Source: RefSeq, a predicted model, not a curated record
UUGUACCUGUAACGAAUAAGGCUCAAUGGGGAUGGAGCCAAAGCCCAUGCCCAAGCCCAAACCCAACCAAUUGCAGUAUAAUGUGAAAAAGAACAAUGGAGAGCCUGUCGGAAAGUGAUCCAGACUCAUGGGAAGAGUGAGAAACAGUUGAAGAGCAAGAGACUCCGAGAUGAACUGGACGAGAAGUUGGCUGGCGUUGCCUUGCGAAGAAGCUCAAUAAGUCCACGCCAGAGGUUUCGAAAAUCAGUUCAUCAAGAUAUUUCCAGCAUGUGGGGUUUCAAGAAAGAAUGCUGGAAUUGGUAUCCACCUACAUAGAGAUUUUAUUGCACAGAUCUAGUUGCAGAUACGAAAAUGAAUAAGAAUACAAGAAAGGUGGUUUAUGGGUAGUGUUUGAAGAUCAAUUGUUGUCUUGGGAGGCACAUGUUCCUGAAUUAAAGCAGGGCAAGAAAUAGAAUUCUGUGUCAAUGCCAUUUCCUAGUCCGUCAGAGAUUUUAAAGCCUGAAACUCCAGAAGUGUUUCUUCGCUUGAGGCACCCUAUUGUUGCUCUUGUAACUCAUGCAGAAGGUAAUGAGCUUUUCAGGGUACGCAAGCCUUGUUGGUCGAUAAACAACUCAAUUUAUGCAGAGGUCAAUGAAAGUUUGCAAUGGUUGAAAACCCUGGCUUCUGGAUUUGGAUAUUUACUUUGAAAGACAUUGAUGGAAAUGUGCUGGCUGAGAUAGAUAGUGACUGGAGAAGUUUUGGCUUUCAGGUUUCUCACUUUCAAUUUCAUCACAUGAUUUUCUAUCAUUGUUUUUAUCUCGAGUACAAAAUGAAAAUGUACCAGUCUAAUGUAUUGUCAUUACAACUUUUUACUGAUGCUGGUCAAUACGUGAUUCGCUUUGGAAGUACUAAUCCCAGCUUAAAGGAUGGAGCUGCUGAAGUGGUAGGUUGUCAUACCGAUGAAUAUUUCGUUUUCUACCAAUGAAGCAAAUAAUACAAACCAACUAUUUCUGUAUUAUCUAUUAAACAAAAUCAGCAAGAUAUCAAUUUCCAUCCGGACACUAAACAUCUAAUAAAGUGAUAAUUUUUAAAACUAAUAUACUCUUUUACUUAUUCCUCUUUCUUUUUUUUUUUUGAAAGUCAUAAUGGAGUUUAAAUGAUUCGACACAACACAAUGGUAAAGUGUAUUUUAAGUUCAAAUGUCUUCCAAGACAAAUUUUUAUUUUUUUAAAUAUAAGACUAUAUAUAAAUUUACACAAAUGAAAUUUUCCCAAGGCUAAAGCCCACUUCUUUUCUGAUUAUUUCUCUGUGCCAUAGUUCUCAGCGGUGGAAAAUGGUAAGCCUCUCUCUCUCUCUCUCUCUCUCACUUAAUUCGAGUCGUCCCUCUGUGGUACACCUCCACUUUUUGCUAUACAUAUGCAUAUGUAUAUUUUAGCAUCUCAGAAGCAUUUUGACAAACAUUAACGGGGCAUGGGGAGACUUUUCUUUAGUGUCUGGAAAUUGCUAUUUUGCUGAUUUCGUUUCGUUUUGUUCGAUUGGUAGUAGUGCUCUGUUUAGAGUUUGAUCUUCUUCGACUAUGUAUUGUUGUUAGUACUUUCAGUUACACUUGUGCUGCUUUUACAGACACU